Non-coding RNA from Hydra vulgaris (swiftwater hydra), 316 nucleotides. Lineage: Eukaryota; Metazoa; Cnidaria; Hydrozoa; Anthoathecata; Hydridae. The record is from RefSeq and is a predicted model, not a curated record.
GGCUGUUAACAAUUGAGUUGCGCUGUUUGUAAAACAUGAAGGAGCAAACUAAUUCCACAAACAAAACUAAACAAAAGUUGGCUUUUUCAAAGACAAAAUUGUAUCGUGUUUUAGUUGAGAGUGUCUCAAAAAGAUACCCAGAUGAAGCAGGGAUUUACGAAGCUGUUAAAUCUAUUCUGAAAUAUUCGCCAAUAAAAUUUUGUAGAAAGCAGAAAUUGAAAAUUUAGAGUUUUUAAUGACAUUUUAGGAUAUAUGAUAUGAUUAUGUUUGUGUCUUGUGUAAAGCGCUUUAUUUUUAAAUAUACUUUUAUUAUUUA